AGAGUUUGAUCCUGGCUCAGGGAUGAACGCUAGCGGCAGGCUUAACACAUGCAAGUCGAGGGGCAGCGGGGAGGAAGCUUGCUUUCUCCGCCGGCGACCGGCGCACGGGUGAGUAACACGUAUGCAACCUGCCCCUGUCAGGGGGACAACCCGCCGAAAGGCGGGCUAAACCCGCGUACAUGCCACCGGGGCAUCCCGGAGGCAGGAAAGGCUUCGGCCGGACAGGGAUGGGCAUGCGGCGCAUUAGGCAGUAGGCGGGGUAACGGCCCACCUAACCGACGAUGCGUAGGGGUUCUGAGAGGAAGGUCCCCCACACUGGUACUGAGACACGGACCAGACUCCUACGGGAGGCAGCAGUGAGGAAUAUUGGUCAAUGGUCGGGAGACUGAACCAGCCAAGCCGCGUGAGGGAGGAAGGUACAGAGUAUCGUAAACCUCUUUUGUCAGGGAACAAAGGCGGGGACGUGUCCCCGGAUGAGUGUACCUGAAGAAAAAGCAUCGGCUAACUCCGUGCCAGCAGCCGCGGUAAUACGGAGGAUGCGAGCGUUAUCCGGAUUUAUUGGGUUUAAAGGGUGCGCAGGCGGUCUGUUAAGUCAGCGGUCAAAGCCCGGGGCUCAACCCCGGCCCGCCGUUGAAACUGGCAGUCUCGAGUUGGAGAGAAGUAUGCGGAAUGCGCGGUGAAGCGGUGAAAUGCAUAGAUAUCGCGCAGAACUCCGAUUGCGAAGGCAGCAUGCCGGCUCCACACUGACGCUGAGGCACGAAAGCGUGGGUAUCGAACAGGAUUAGAUACCCUGGUAGUCCACGCAGUAAACGAUGAAUGCUGGCUGUCCGGGGGGAUUGACCCCUGGGUGGCGAAGCGAAAGCGAUAAGCAUUCCACCUGGGGAGUACGCCGGCAACGGUGAAACUCAAAGGAAUUGACGGGGGCCCGCACAAGCGGAGGAACAUGUGGUUUAAUUCGAUGAUACGCGAGGAACCUUACCCGGGCUCAAACGGGGAGUGACUCAGGCAGAGACGCCUGUUUCCCACGGGACACUCCCCGAGGUGCUGCAUGGUUGUCGUCAGCUCGUGCCGUGAGGUGUCGGCUUAAGUGCCAUAACGAGCGCAACCCCCGCGUGCAGUUGCUAACAGAUAACGCUGAGGACUCUGCACGGACUGCCGGCGCAAGCCGCGAGGAAGGCGGGGAUGACGUCAAAUCAGCACGGCCCUUACGUCCGGGGCGACACACGUGUUACAAUGGGUGGUACAGCGGGAAGCCAGGCGGCGACGCCGAGCGGAACCCGAAAUCCACUCUCAGUUCGGAUCGGAGUCUGCAACCCGACUCCGUGAAGCUGGAUUCGCUAGUAAUCGCGCAUCAGCCAUGGCGCGGUGAAUACGUUCCCGGGCCUUGUACUCACAGCCCGUCA
RNAcentral lists this ribosomal RNA (1403 nucleotides) under uncultured bacterium. RNAcentral's name for it is "16S ribosomal RNA". It matches the Rfam family "Bacterial small subunit ribosomal RNA". The record is from RNAcentral.